Molecule: transfer RNA, 76 nt
Filed under: Cedecea lapagei
Lineage: Bacteria; Pseudomonadati; Pseudomonadota; Gammaproteobacteria; Enterobacterales; Enterobacteriaceae
Description: tRNA-Met
Rfam family: tRNA
About the family: Transfer RNA (tRNA) molecules are approximately 80 nucleotides in length. Their secondary structure includes four short double-helical elements and three loops (D, anti-codon, and T loops).
Source: RNAcentral
GGUACUUAGCUCAGAUGGUUAGAGCAGUCGGCUCAUAACUGAUUGGUCGCUGGUUCAAGUCCAGCAAGGGCCACCA